GAUGAACGCUGGCGGCGUGCCUAAUACAUGCAAGUCGAGCGAACAGACGAGGAGCUUGCUCCUCUGACGUUAGCGGCGGACGGGUGAGUAACACGUGGAUAACCUACCUAUAAGACUGGGAUAACUUCGGGAAACCGGAGCUAAUACCGGAUCAUAUAUUGAACCGCAUGGUUCAAUAGUGAAAGACGGUUUUGCUGUCACUUAUAGCUGGAUCCGCGCCGCAUUAGCUAGUUGGUAAGGUAACGGCUUACCAAGGCAACGAUGCGUAGCCGACCUGAGAGGAUGAUCGGCCACACUGGAACUGAGACACGGUCCAGACUCCUACGGGAGGCAGCAGUAGGGAAUCUUCCACAAUGGGCGAAAGCCUGACGGAGCAACACCGCGUGAGUGAUGAAGGUCUUCGGAUCGUAAAGCUCUGUUAUUAGGGAAGAACAAAUGUGUAAGUAACUAUGCACGUCUUGACGGUACCUAAUCAGAAAGCCACGGCUAACUACGUG
This 497-nucleotide ribosomal RNA is filed under the name uncultured bacterium. RNAcentral's name for it is "partial 16S ribosomal RNA". It matches the Rfam family "Bacterial small subunit ribosomal RNA", at positions 28 to 507 of the family's 1533-position model. The record is from RNAcentral.